RNAcentral lists this ribosomal RNA (301 nucleotides) under uncultured bacterium. Its description in RNAcentral is "partial 16S ribosomal RNA". It matches the Rfam family "Bacterial small subunit ribosomal RNA", at positions 509 to 807 of the family's 1533-position model. The record is from RNAcentral.
CAGCAGCCGCGGGAAUACGUAGGGUGCAAGCGUUAAUCGGAAUUACUGGGCGUAAAGCGUGCGCAGGCGGUUAUAUAAGACAGAUGUGAAAUCCCCGGGCUCAACCUGGGAACUGCAUUUGUGACUGUAUAGCUAGAGUACGGCAGAGGGGGAUGGAAUUCCGCGUGUAGCAGUGAAAUGCGUAGAUAUGCGGAGGAACACCGAUGGCGAAGGCAAUCCCCUGGGCCUGUACUGACACUCAUGCACGAAAGCGUGGGGAGCAAACAGGAUUAGAUACCCCUGUAGUCCCUGUCUCUUAUAC